This is a long non-coding RNA of Ostrea edulis (European flat oyster), 602 nucleotides long. RefSeq lists it as uncharacterized. NCBI's taxonomy places the organism in Eukaryota, Metazoa, Mollusca, Bivalvia, Ostreida, Ostreidae. The record is from RefSeq and is a predicted model, not a curated record. The transcript has 4 exons.
GCAGGCUUACAUUCCAGUCUCAAGAUCUCCAACGAUUUAUUCAGUGGCAGAGAUUCGCUGAGGACGCGGAGGCCAUCUUUACCUGGACAUGUGCAAUUGAGAUUCUGUAACGAUGUCAUAAAUAUGCAUCAGGACAACUGCAUAUUUAAUAUGCAUCUGAGGGAUAAUUUAGAUUUAUUAGAGAAGAGAUUCAUGUACACACGCAAUAUGGAACUUUGAGGGGACGUUUUGUGAUCCAGAGGCGUGAUGUCUGCAGGUGUCUGUCUGACCGAUAUCUGUCCCUGUGUGUUUUGUUCCAUCAUUGUGAUUUUCGCACUGUUCAUUCAACAAUGAUAAGAUAUGAAAAUUGCCGAAGCACAAAGAUAACUAUAAAGAUGAUGUUGCACGGGGGUGAGGGGUGGCCGCCAUUAUGUAACUAUAUAUAUCACAUUGUAUGAUACUACAGCAGUGUCAAGUUGAAAUGUUUAGCGCACAUGCGCCAAGGAAUAAAAUGAGCUUUUUUGAUCACUUGUCAUUUGUCUAUCCGUUUCUAACUGUUCAUAUCGAUUCCAUCUACUGGGCAUAUUUUCACCAAACCUUAGGUAAGAGUUGUCCAAGUUUAU